Molecule: ribosomal RNA, 253 nt
Filed under: uncultured bacterium
Lineage: Bacteria
Description: partial 16S ribosomal RNA
Rfam family: Bacterial small subunit ribosomal RNA
Source: RNAcentral
UACGGAGGGGGCAAGCGCUGUUGGGAUUUACUGGGCGUACAGGGAGCGUAGGCGGUUGGGUAAGCCCUCCGUGAAAUCUCCGGGCCCAACCCGGAAAGUGCGGUCGGGACUGCUCGGCUAGAGGAUGGGAGAGGAGCGCGGAAUUCCCGGUGUAGCGGUGAAAUGCGUAGAGAUCGGGAGGAAGGCAGGUGGCGAAGGCGGCGCUCUGGAACAUUUCUGACGCUGAGGCUCGAAAGCGUGGGGAGCAAACAGG